Molecule: long non-coding RNA, 2200 nt
Organism: Triticum aestivum (bread wheat)
Lineage: Eukaryota; Viridiplantae; Streptophyta; Magnoliopsida; Poales; Poaceae
Exons: 8
Source: RefSeq, a predicted model, not a curated record
AAGGACAUUAUCUCUUCCGUGUGGCCGCUCCGCCUCCACCUCCUCUCCCUGGCUCCGGCUGCCGCCCCGCGCCCCACCUUCUCCCCUGGCUCCGGCCGUCGCUCCGCGCCCCACCUUCUUCCCUGGCUCCAGCCGCCGCCCCAUGCCCCACCUUCUCCCUGGCUCCGGCCGCCGCUCCGCGCCCCACCUUCUUCUCUGGCUCCGGCCCUCGCCCCGCGCCUCACCUUCUCCCUGACUCCGGCCAUCGUCAUGCGCCCGACCAUCCCCCUGGUUCUGGCCACCGCCCCGUGCCCCACCUCCCCCCCGGCUCCGGCCGCCACCCCGUGCCCCACCUUCUCCCAUGGCAGCAGUCGCCGCCCCUCCCCCACCAUCUCAUGCCCCCUGGGCCGCUCACCAUCCCGUAUCCUCAGCGUGCCGGCCUCCACGAUCCCCAGCGCGCCAACCUCCAGUUCUUCACCUACCCCAUCGUGACGCCACCCAAUCUUCUUCCUCCUGGAUUCUCCUAGCCAUGGCGAGUGCCUCCUCCCUGCGCCAAGCUCGCUCUAGACUACGCAGAGCCACCAACUCCCACCGCCUCACGUGCAGUACAACCCCACCCAUGUACGAGGUUCAAAGACCUUGCAGAGAGAAGGAAAUGAUAUGUUAAGGUCAGCAGCUUCCUCGUCGCCAUCCCGGUCGUGGCUUUUCUGUGGCACGCCUCCCACUGCUUCUCCUUGCUGGACUAGUCAACCUACAAGAGAUCAACUCAAACAAAAAGUACUCAAGGUGGACUUAAGCUGAACUGGUGAUGGUCUUAGAAACUGCAUGUUUGAAAGUGGCCAAGGUUCUUGAAAGCUAAAAACUUUGAACCUUGUAAACGACAGCAAGCUUUUUGCCAUUUGUUUCACUUACUAGAGCGCUUUGCUAAUGGGUACGAUAAGUAUAACAUAAGUGAAUGAAAAGAGAGGUCUCGUCCAACUAAUUAGUUUUCUCUGUGUUUUUAGUUCCAUGUACUGUCUGAUCAAUUCUACUGUAGCUCUGAACAGCAGGAGAAAAAUAAAGAAAGUUCAAGUAAAAUCUCAAAUAAAAAUUAUGUUCAAGUUGAAGCCCAGGAGUAUAUACAUAUGGAGCGGACAUGGCAAUCGAUCUUGUUGAUGAUUAUCAAUAAAUAGAUGGUGAAGUUGGCAAACGGCUGAAUCAGAUGGUGCCUACCCCUAAAAAUUAUCAGUUACAAGUAUCUGCAUUUUGUCGAAAGUUCUUCGGUAUAGCCCCCUCUCCAUCAAAGUAGAAGAGUGAUCGUGGCAUGUGUUCGUUCAAUAAGGGCUUUGGUGACGGUCCGCUGCUGGUGGCCGCCUCACCGUGGUUAAGUUUGGCGUAGUCGCAUGUGUCGCUUUCUGUUGUGGCCGGUCUCCAGAUUAUACUGGAGCAUGUGUUUUCACAGAUAGUUCAUGUUCCAGAUUGCCAAAAGUUCAAACAUAGUGAGAUGGAUGGGAAACUACGAGAAAGAGAUGAUAUUGGACAAAGCAAAAUUAGUAAAAGAAAGAAAAUGCUAGAAGUUCAACUAGGGUGACUUAAAAAGUUCAUGAAAAAUAAAUAUAAAAGUUCACAGAAGAGGGUUGGAAAAGAUUUGGGAAAAGACACACAAAAAAACAUGGAAAAGUUCUCAGGUUAGAAAAAGGUUUCACUUCACUUUGCUAAAGUUCAUCUAGAAUCUUGGAAUCCGAUGUGGUCUGUGGCAAGGUACAUCCAAUGACAACGAGCAGGCGGCAAGUGUACUUAUGCGCAGCGGGACGGUGGCAUGGAGCAGUUGAGUAGGUGUGCGUGGUCAUUCACUGCCUCGACACAAGGCCGUUCGACGAUGCAGCGCUCAAGCCGUUCACCCUUACCACCACAAGCUGUUCACCCUUACCACCGCAAGCCGUUCACCUCCGCCACACGAGGCCGUGCGACGACGCAGUGAUCAGACCGUUCACCUCUGCCAUAGGAGGCCGAUGCAAACACUAAGGAGUUGUGUUCUUUUUCAGUACAUGUUUUUGUGCUUUUUAGUACACCUACUUAACGAUUCUAUGUCCAAUUUUCUCUGUUUACGUGUUCUUCCUAUAGCACAAAAGGUGUUGUGUGUUAAGCCUUAAUAAGCAUUUGAGAAAAUCUUGUAUGGAUCUAAACUAGCAUAUGUUCGUUCUAUUCUUGUAAAUGAAGCUCCACUUCUGUUUUGUUUGAA